RNAcentral lists this ribosomal RNA (393 nucleotides) under uncultured bacterium. RNAcentral's name for it is "bacterial SSU rRNA". It matches the Rfam family "Bacterial small subunit ribosomal RNA", at positions 30 to 428 of the family's 1533-position model. The record is from RNAcentral.
AUUGAACGCUGGCGGCAUGCCUUACACAUGCAAGUCGAACGGUAACAGGUUAAGCUGACGAGUGGCGAACGGGUGAGUAAUAUAUCGGAACGUGCCCAGUUGUGGGGGAUAACUGCUCGAAAGAGCAGCUAAUACCGCAUACGACCUGAGGGUGAAAGCGGGGGAUCGCAAGACCUCGCGCAAUUGGAGCGGCCGAUAUCAGAUUAGCUAGUUGGCGGGGUAAAAGCCCACCAAGGCGACGAUCUGUAGCUGGUCUGAGAGGACGACCAGCCACACUGGGACUGAGACACGGCCCAGACUCCUACGGGAGGCAGCAGUGGGGAAUUUUGGACAAUGGACGCAAGUCUGAUCCAGCCAUGCCGCGUGCGGGAAGAAGGGCCCUUCGGGUUGGUU